Molecule: ribosomal RNA, 460 nt
Filed under: uncultured bacterium
Lineage: Bacteria
Description: partial 16S ribosomal RNA
Rfam family: Bacterial small subunit ribosomal RNA
Source: RNAcentral
CCUACGGGAGGCAGCAGUGAGGAAUAUUGGUCAAUGGACGAGAGUCUGAACCAGCCAAGUAGCGUGAAGGAUGACUGCCCUAUGGGUUGUAAACUUCUUUUAUAUGGGAAUAAAACACGGUAUGCAUACCCUCUUGUAUGUACCAUAUGAAUAAGGAUCGGCUAACUCCGUGCCAGCAGCCGCGGUAAUACGGAAGGUCCGGGCGUUAUCCGGAUUUAUUGGGUUUAAAGGGAGCGUAGGCCGGCUUUUAAGUCAGCUGUGAAAGUCCGGGGCUCAACCGUGGAAUUGCAGUUGAAACUGGAGGCCGUGAGUGCACACAGGGAUGCCGGAAUUCAUGGUGUAGCGGUGAAAUGCUUAGAUAUCAUGAAGAACUCCGAUCGCGAAGGCAAGUGUCCGGGGUGCAACUGACGCUGAGGCACGAAAGUGCGGGUAUCAAACAGGAUUAGAUACCCCAGUAGUC